CUCACACCGCACCCCUCACACACACACCGCACCCUCACAUACACACAGAACCCCCCCAACACACUGCACCACACACAUACUUUCAAAUAUAUAUAUAUAUAUAUAUAUACACACACUACACUCUUAAAGGACCACUCUAGCCACCCAGACCACUUCAGCUUAAUGAAGUGGUCUUGGUGCCAGGUCCUUCUAGGGUUAACCCAUUGUUU
Molecule: non-coding RNA, 209 nt
Organism: Pelobates cultripes (western spadefoot toad)
Lineage: Eukaryota; Metazoa; Chordata; Amphibia; Anura; Pelobatidae
Source: the annotation of a GenBank genome assembly